This 301-nucleotide ribosomal RNA is filed under the name uncultured bacterium. RNAcentral describes it as "partial 16S ribosomal RNA". It matches the Rfam family "Bacterial small subunit ribosomal RNA", at positions 509 to 809 of the family's 1533-position model. The record is from RNAcentral.
CAGUCGCCGCGGUAAUACGGAGGGUGCAAGCGUUAAUCGGAAUUACUGGGCGUAAAGCGUGCGUAGGCGGUUCGUUAAGUCUGUUGUGAAAGCCCCGGGCUCAACCUGGGAAUGGCAAUGGAUACUGGCGAGCUAGAGUGUGUCAGAGGAUGGUGGAAUUCCCGGUGUAGCGGUGAAAUGCGUAGAGAUCGGGAGGAACAUCAGUGGCGAAGGCGGCCAUCUGGGACAACACUGACGCUGAGGCACGAAAGCGUGGGGAGCAAACAGGAUUAGAUACCCGCGUAGUCCCUGUCUCUUAUAA